AAUCAAAGGCUGAAGGCCAAUGAUCAAUUAAUCAAUACAAACUGCACUUUUAGCUCAAACCAACUAAGCAAAUUAAUUAAUAUCUAUUCUAAGCAACAGUCUAAUUAACAGAUUGACCAAUCGUGAGUCCAAAUUUAUACAAGUUAUCCAUUAAACAAAAUGCACUACAUAUACGAGGUGGAAACAUAGCAGGACAACUCCAAAAGCAAAUUCAACUCCAUUCAUCAGUUUUAAUUCUUCCAUAUCACAUUUACAAAAGUUCCUUCACAAUUCAUAUGAGAUUGAGGAGAGGUACCUGGAAAUAUAAUGAACAAAAAUGGACGUUAGCAACUGAAGAGCAGACAACAACUUGCAGUAACCAAUAAUUGGAGUUUAAACAACACCAAUUAGUUCAGCUUUAGCCCAGAAAUGCAUUUGACAGUCCAGGAAAAUUUCAGAAGAGGACAGAAUCAGGAAAACCUACUCUUAAACCACUUGAAUCCACCCACCUAAACUCACAAUUGAACCCAUGCCAUCCAGGAUACCUUCAGCAGCAGAAACAACUACACAACUCAAAUAAACCUCAUCUUGACUCCAAAGACCAAAUCAAGUAAUUCCAGAACUUCAGUGACUAAUUACUGAACUAAAAUGGCAAACUGGCAGCCAACCUCGAACUUGAAAUGCCAAAAUUCCAAUGGAACAAUGGCCCUUUUCUUUGGGGUUUUUUGAAAGUUUCUAAUGUUUUUUGUUUUUCUAUAUGAAGAAAGCUAAAACCUAAGGGAAUUUCAGAUCUGGAAGUAUGGGGGUAUUUUUU
This 793-nucleotide long non-coding RNA is filed under the name Nicotiana benthamiana. RNAcentral's name for it is "long non-coding RNA (NBEN_LNC035990)". Lineage: Eukaryota; Viridiplantae; Streptophyta; Magnoliopsida; Solanales; Solanaceae. The record is from RNAcentral.